This 429-nucleotide ribosomal RNA is filed under the name Actinomycetes bacterium. RNAcentral's name for it is "Actinobacteria bacterium partial 16S ribosomal RNA". It matches the Rfam family "Bacterial small subunit ribosomal RNA", at positions 355 to 776 of the family's 1533-position model. The record is from RNAcentral. Lineage: Bacteria; Bacillati; Actinomycetota; Actinomycetes.
UAGGGAAUCUUCCGCAAUGGGCGAAAGCCUGACGGAGCAACGCCGCGUGAGUGAUGAAGGUCUUCGGAUCGUAAAACUCUGUUAUUAGGGAAGAACAAAUGUGUAAGUAACUAUGCACGUCUUGACGGUACCUAAUCAGAAAGCCACGGCUAACUACGUGCCAGCAGCCGCGGUAAUACGUAGGUGGCAAGCGUUAUCCGGAAUUAUUGGGCGCAAAGCGCGCGUAGGCGGUUUUUUAAGUCUGAUGUGAAAGCCCACGGCUCAACCGUGGAGGGUCAUUGGAAACUGGAAAACUUGAGUGCAGAAGAGGAAAGUGGAAUUCCAUGUGUAGCGGUGAAAUGCGCAGAGAUAUGGAGGAACACCAGUGGCGAAGGCGACUUUCUGGUCUGUAACUGACGCUGAUGUGCGAAAGCGUGGGGAUCAAACAGG